This 61-nucleotide transfer RNA is filed under the name Wellcomia compar. RNAcentral's name for it is "tRNA-Ala". Lineage: Eukaryota; Metazoa; Nematoda; Chromadorea; Rhabditida; Oxyuridae. The record is from RNAcentral.
AGGAUUUUAGUUUAUUAAGGAUAAAAAUUUAACUUUAGCAGUGUUAGGAAAUAAAAGUUCU